Molecule: long non-coding RNA, 779 nt
Filed under: Olea europaea subsp. europaea
Lineage: Eukaryota; Viridiplantae; Streptophyta; Magnoliopsida; Lamiales; Oleaceae
Source: RNAcentral
AAUUAUUAUGCUUAAGUUCGGCUGCAACAGCAUUCGUUGGAUCCCUUCAGGUUAUAGUUAUUAUGCUUAAGUAAAGUUCAAUUGCUUAACGAGGCUAAUACACUUCGGAGAAAAACAGCAUGUGAUGAAGAUAGAUUACAGUGAAAAGUGAACUACACUAAGCCCAGUCAAUGGUGGAGGUGCCUCGACAGCAGGUGCCUCAGCAGCUUGAGCCUUACGAUUUAGCCUUCACAAGCCUCGCAGGUUCGGUUUCCCAACCACCUCGACUUCAUCACAAUUCAGCCUUUACAAGCCUCGCAGGUUCGGUUUUCUAACCACCUCGACUUCAUCACAAUUCAGCCUUCACAAGCCUCGCAGGUUCGGUUUCCUAACCACCUCGGCUUCAUCACAUUUCAGCCUUCACAAGCCUCGCAGGUUCGGUUUCUCAACCACCUCGGCUUCAUCACAUUUCAGCCUUCACAAGCCUCGCAGGUUCGGUUUCCCAACCACCUCGACUUCAUCACAAUUCAACAUUCAUAAGCCUCACAGGUUCGGUUUAUUCAACCACCUCGGCUUCUUCAUCAUUCAUUCACAACAACGCAUUUCUAACUCCAACCAUGACAUAAAUGACUAUACUUGAACUUGGGGGACUAUUAUUUGGAAUUAAAAAAUUCUUUCAAUUUUUACCCAACCCACUGGCUUUACUUCAUUGAAGUCCACGCAUUGCAUAAAUGAAUAUUAGACUCAAACUUGGGGGACUAUUGCAAUACUAGUACCUCAGCAUCACUACAUAUCAUUGC